AGAGUUGUUGUGAUAUGUUAACAUCUCUCUCUCUUUCUCUCUCUCUCUCUCUCUCUCUCUCUCUCCCUCUCUCUCUCUCUCUCUGCGUGUUUGUAUAUAGAAAGGAAGGUUUUGAUCGGAAGAAAUAAAAAAGAGUGAUGGUAGUUGUUGGUGUUGUUGUGUGAUGACGGGUCGAAGGUCACCGGAGCAGUUUUUGUUUUCGCUCGAAAUAGUGUGAGGAAGGAGGAAUAUGUUUGGCAUGAAAACUGUUGCAGUGGGUUGUGUUCAAUGGAAGAGUGAGGUUGAUAUGGUGGAAAAAGGAUGGACGCGCUUUGUUGUUAACAAGGUUGAUGAUGAUG
Molecule: long non-coding RNA, 338 nt
Filed under: Lathyrus oleraceus (garden pea)
Lineage: Eukaryota; Viridiplantae; Streptophyta; Magnoliopsida; Fabales; Fabaceae
Description: Pisum sativum (pea) long non-coding RNA (PSAT_LNC010125)
Source: RNAcentral